RNAcentral lists this transfer RNA (72 nucleotides) under Loxodonta africana (African savanna elephant). It matches the Rfam family "tRNA". From Rfam's summary of the family: Transfer RNA (tRNA) molecules are approximately 80 nucleotides in length. Their secondary structure includes four short double-helical elements and three loops (D, anti-codon, and T loops). Lineage: Eukaryota; Metazoa; Chordata; Mammalia; Proboscidea; Elephantidae. The record is from Rfam by way of RNAcentral.
CUCUGGGUAGUACAAACGGUUAAUGCGCUCAGCUGCUAACUGAAAGAUUGGAGGUUCAAAUCCACCCAGAGG